Molecule: ribosomal RNA, 548 nt
Filed under: uncultured bacterium
Lineage: Bacteria
Description: bacterial SSU rRNA
Rfam family: Bacterial small subunit ribosomal RNA
Source: RNAcentral
UAGGGAAUCUUCCGCAAUGGGCGAAAGCCUGACGGAGCAACGCCGCGUGAGUGAAGAAGGAUUUCGGUUCGUAAAGCUCUGUUGUUAGGGAAGAAUGAUUAUGUAGUAACUAUACAUAGUAGAGACGGUACCUAACCAGAAAGCCACGGCUAACUACGUGCCAGCAGCCGCGGUAAUACGUAGGUGGCAAGCGUUGUCCGGAAUUAUUGGGCGUAAAGCGCGCGCAGGUGGUUUAAUAAGUCUGAUGUGAAAGCCCACGGCUCAACCGUGGAGGGUCAUUGGAAACUGUUAAACUUGAGUGCAGGAGAGAAAAGUGGAAUUCCUAGUGUAGCGGUGAAAUGCGUAGAGAUUAGGAGGAACACCAGUGGCGAAGGCGGCUUUUUGGCCUGUAACUGACACUGAGGCGCGAAAGCGUGGGGAGCAAACAGGAUUAGAUACCCUGGUAGUCCACGCCGUAAACGAUGAGUGCUAAGUGUUGGUCUCAUAAGAGAUCAGUGCUGCAGCUAACGCAUUAAGCACCCCGCCUGGGGAGUACGACCGCAAGGUUG